UACGAAGGGGGCUAGCGUUGCUCGGAAUUACUGGGCGUAAAGGGAGCGUAGGCGGACAUUUUAAGUCAGGGGGUGAAAUCCCAGAGCUCAACUCUGGAACUGCCUUUGAUACUGGAUGUCUUGAGUGUGAGAGAGGUAUGUGGAACUCCGAGUGUAGAGGUGAAAUUCGUAGAUAUUCGGAAGAACACCAGUGGCGAAGGCGACAUACUGGCUCAUUACUGACGCUGAGGCUCGAAAGCGUGGGGAGCAAACAGG
This 255-nucleotide ribosomal RNA is filed under the name uncultured bacterium. RNAcentral's name for it is "partial 16S ribosomal RNA". It matches the Rfam family "Bacterial small subunit ribosomal RNA", at positions 524 to 776 of the family's 1533-position model. The record is from RNAcentral.